This 243-nucleotide unclassified non-coding RNA is filed under the name Hevea brasiliensis (rubber tree). Lineage: Eukaryota; Viridiplantae; Streptophyta; Magnoliopsida; Malpighiales; Euphorbiaceae. The record is from RNAcentral.
UUCUAAUGCCCUCAUAUUGAGAUUUGAUUCUGAUGAUUCAAGGAAAAUUUGGCAAAAUCGCUUGCAAGGAGCCAUAUAUCGUGCUUCGGCCUCUGCUCCUAUUUUGGGUCUAUCUGAAACUUCCUCAAACUCCGAGGACUCAGAAAUGGAACCAGAUGAAAGUGAUGGUACCCUGGAUUCAUCUAUAGAGAGUGUAUUUUUGACUGGUUCUCUCGAUGAACUUAAAGUCUGUUUCAGUUCUAG